GUAUACAUGUGUGUACAUGUAUGUGUACAUGUAUAUACACUUGCAUGUACACGUAUGUUUGCAUGUGCACAUACAUGUACACACAUGUAUGCAUGUAUAUGCACAUGCAUGUAUACAUGUGUGUGCAUGUGUACAUGUGGGCAUGCAUGUAUAC
RNAcentral lists this small RNA (154 nucleotides) under Pongo abelii (Sumatran orangutan). Lineage: Eukaryota; Metazoa; Chordata; Mammalia; Primates; Hominidae. The record is from RNAcentral.